GUUAAUACUACAGCACUAUUGGUAACGAUGGAUGUUCAAAGCCUGUAUACCAUAAUACCUCAUGAUGAUGGUAUACAGGCACUCAGAGAUGUUCUCAUACAGUCUUCCGUAUAUGAGGGACCACCUAUUGAAUUCCUGAUGGAAUUCCUUUCUAUAGCACUCUCGUGUAACUAUUUCAAAUUUGAAAAUCAAUUUUUUCUUCAACUGACCGGCACUGCAAUGGGGGCGGCAAUGGC
Pelobates cultripes (western spadefoot toad) is the source of this 236-nucleotide non-coding RNA. The record is from the annotation of a GenBank genome assembly. Lineage: Eukaryota; Metazoa; Chordata; Amphibia; Anura; Pelobatidae.